GCGAAGCCGCGAGGUAGAGCAAAUCUCAAAAAGACAUCUCAGUUCAGAUUGCAGGCUGCAACUCGCCUGCAUGAAGUCGGAAUUGCUAGUAAUCGUAGGUCAGCAUACUACGGUGAAUACGUUCCCGGGCCUUGUACACACCGCCCGUCAAACCAUGAGAGUUGGCAACACCCGAAGUCGGUAGUCUAACCGCAAGGAGGACGCCGCCGAAGGUGGGGUUGAUGAUUAGGGUUAAGUCGUAACAAGGUAUC
Molecule: ribosomal RNA, 251 nt
Filed under: uncultured bacterium
Lineage: Bacteria
Description: partial 16S ribosomal RNA
Rfam family: Bacterial small subunit ribosomal RNA
Source: RNAcentral